Molecule: ribosomal RNA, 480 nt
Filed under: uncultured bacterium
Lineage: Bacteria
Description: partial 16S ribosomal RNA
Rfam family: Bacterial small subunit ribosomal RNA
Source: RNAcentral
GACGAACGCUGGCGGCGUGCUUAACACAUGCAAGUCGAACGGAAAGUGCUCUUCGGAGUGACUCGAGUGGCGAACGGGUGAGUAACACGUGGGUGAUCUGCCCUGCACUUCGGUAUAAGCCUGGGACACUGGGUCUAAUACCGGAUAGGACCUCGGGAUGCAGGUCCUGUGGUGGAAAGCUUUUGCGGUGUGGGAUGGUCCCGGAGCCUAGCAGCUUGUUGGUGGGGUGAUGGCCUACCAAGGGGACGGGUGGUAGACGGCCUGAGAGGGUGAACGGCCACAAUGGGAUUGAGAUACGGCCUAGACUCCUACGGGAGGCAGCAGUGGGGAAUAUUGCACAAUGGGCGCAAGCCUGAUGCAGCGACGCCGCGUGAGGGAUGACGGCCUUCGGGUUGUACACCUCUUUCAGCAUCGAAGAAGCGCAAGUGACGGUAGGUGCAGAAGAAGGACCGGCCACCUACGUGCCAGCCGCCGCCGUAA